RNAcentral lists this ribosomal RNA (430 nucleotides) under Pseudomonadota bacterium. RNAcentral's name for it is "Proteobacteria bacterium partial 16S ribosomal RNA". It matches the Rfam family "Bacterial small subunit ribosomal RNA", at positions 355 to 776 of the family's 1533-position model. Lineage: Bacteria; Pseudomonadati; Pseudomonadota. The record is from RNAcentral.
UGGGGAAUAUUGGACAAUGGGGGGAACCCUGAUCCAGCCAUGCCGCGUGUGUGAAGAAGGCCUUAUGGUUGUAAAGCACUUUAAGCGAGGAGGAGGGUACUGGUAUUAAUACUACCAGCUACUGGACGUUACUCGCAGAAUAAGCACCGGCUAACUCUGUGCCAGCAGCCGCGGUAAUACAGAGGGUGCGAGCGUUAAUCGGAUUUACUGGGCGUAAAGCGUGCGUAGGCGGCUAAUUGAGUCGGAUGUGAAAUCCCCGAGCUUAACUUGGGAAUUGCAUUCGAUACUGGUUAGCUAGAGUGUGGGAGAGGAUGGUAGAAUUCCAGGUGUAGCGGUGAAAAGCGUAGAGAUCUGGAGGAAUACCGAUGGCGAAGGCAGCCAUCUGGCCUAACACUGACGCUGAAGUACGAAAGAAUGGGGAGCAAACAGG